CCUACGGGAGGCAGCAGUGGGGAAUAUUGCACAAUGGGGGGAACCCUGAUGCAGCGACGCCGCGUGGGUGAAGGAGGGUUUCGGCGCGUAAAGCCCUAUCGGCAGGGAAGAAGAUGACGGUACCUGGCCAAGAAGCCCCGGCUAACUACGUGCCAGCAGCCGCGGUAAUACGUAGGGGGCAAGCGUUAGCCGGAUUUACUGGGUGUAAAGGGGGCGCAGACGGCAAUGCAAGCCAGGAGGGAAAGCCCGGGGCCCAACCCCGGGACUGCGCUUGGAACUGCAUGGCUGGAGUACAGGAGGGGCAGGCGGAAUUCCUAGUGUAGCGGUGAAAUGCGUAGAUAUUAGGAGGAACACCGGUGGCGAAGGCGGCCUGCUGGACUGUGACUGACGUUGAGGCCCGAAGGCGUGGGGAGCAAACAGGAUUAGAUACCCGGGUAGUC
RNAcentral lists this ribosomal RNA (440 nucleotides) under uncultured bacterium. RNAcentral describes it as "partial 16S ribosomal RNA". It matches the Rfam family "Bacterial small subunit ribosomal RNA", at positions 338 to 795 of the family's 1533-position model. The record is from RNAcentral.